AUUCGACAAACGAGAUCUAUGUCUUGCCGAAUGGAGACGAGUACAGGCUCUUGCCAGUGUUUUCUGGUCCCGUUGGAGGAAGGAAUACCUGCCGUUACUACAACAACGACGAAAAUGGACCGAAGAUCGCCGUGAUCUCAUCGAAGGAGACGUCAUUCUUUUAAAGGACAAAAACAUUUGCCGUACCCAAUGGCCCGUUGGAAUUAUAGUGAACUCAUUUAAAAGUUCAGACGAACAUGUCCGAAAAGCAGAAGUGCGAGUAAUCGUUAAUGGAAAAGCCACAACCUACACACGCCCUAUCGUGGACAUGAUUCUUCUCGUAGAGAACAACCCUGUGUAAUUAUAUGUAUAUAUAUAUAUAUUGGAUUUAGAUAGGACAUUCACAUGUGUUAUAUUUUAUGGAAUAGUGAUAUCAGAUAGAUUUCAGACGGGGAGUAUUCUGUUUCACAUUCAAUGUUUAUUACAUGUUUUCAUAUUUAUCCGGAACAAAUUGAACUGGACCGAUUUCUCAAAUCACCGUAUUAUCGACUACCUUUAAUUUCUGUGACACCGUCCGCUUCAAUAUUUCAACACAUGGAAAAUGGACGACAUUUGAACUUCCUACGGAAAUCGAGACAUACCACUGUCAAGUACGUUUGAUUCAAUCAUAAACUGUGAUAAAUUAAUCUGUUUUAACUCCGUUAUUUUUAGAUAAGUGGUUUAUAAAUACAUACGAACUGUAAGUUAUUUAUUUCCGAGAAAUGAACUGUAAAUUCUACUUUCGUUUUUGACUCGAUUAAUAAUCUUGUAUUUAACAUUCAUAUUUAAUUCGUACACAUUGUAAAAUAUUGUAUUUUUAUUUCUUUCAGUUUACCAAUCUACUGACUAUUAUGUAAACCUUUCUGGUGGAAUUUAUAAUUACAAUUUCAAACAAGUUGUGUUCGUUAUAUCUUCAUCGAGAUUGCGAUUGCAGUCACCUGGUUAAACUAGUUGAGUCCGGCUCAGCAUACAUUCAGUA
Molecule: long non-coding RNA, 997 nt
Filed under: Mytilus galloprovincialis (Mediterranean mussel)
Lineage: Eukaryota; Metazoa; Mollusca; Bivalvia; Mytilida; Mytilidae
Source: RNAcentral